UACGUAGGUGGCAAGCGUUAUCCGGAAUUAUUGGGCGUAAAGCGCGCGCAGGUGGUUUCUUAAGUCUGAUGUGAAAGCCCACGGCUCAACCGUGGAGGGUCAUUGGAAACUGGGAGACUUGAGUGCAGAAGAGGAAAGUGGAAUUCCACGUGUAGCGGUGAAAUGCGUAGAGAUGUGGAGGAACACCAGUGGCGAAGGCGGCUUUCUGGUCUGUAACUGACGCUGAGGCGCGAAAGCGUGGGGAGCAAACAGG
RNAcentral lists this ribosomal RNA (253 nucleotides) under uncultured bacterium. Its description in RNAcentral is "partial 16S ribosomal RNA". It matches the Rfam family "Bacterial small subunit ribosomal RNA", at positions 524 to 776 of the family's 1533-position model. The record is from RNAcentral.